UCUGGCUGUGAUGAUUCACUUGCCCUCACUGCAAAUGUACUUUGGUGAUGAUACUGAUUAUGUGUUGCUGAGCCAGC
This 77-nucleotide small nucleolar RNA is filed under the name Erpetoichthys calabaricus (reedfish). RNAcentral describes it as "Small nucleolar RNA SNORD103/SNORD85 (ENSECRG00000011878.1)". It matches the Rfam family "Small nucleolar RNA SNORD103/SNORD85". From Rfam's summary of the family: This family includes the snoRNAs SNORD103 (U103) and SNORD85 (HBII-251) . The record is from RNAcentral. Lineage: Eukaryota; Metazoa; Chordata; Cladistia; Polypteriformes; Polypteridae.